Molecule: long non-coding RNA, 220 nt
Filed under: Elaeis guineensis (African oil palm)
Lineage: Eukaryota; Viridiplantae; Streptophyta; Magnoliopsida; Arecales; Arecaceae
Description: long non-coding RNA (EGUI_LNC008146)
Source: RNAcentral
CUGUUACUUUGGCCUCCCAAGCUCUAAAAAGUGAACUAAGAAUUUUUCGAACAAGCUCACUAUUAGUAUAAGAUAUUUCUAAAUUUUUUAAGAUCAUUAAUAAUAUCAAUAAAUCUAGUAAAUAUUUCACUGAUUGAUUCAUUUUAUUUCAUUUUAAAUAAUUCAUCUUUAUGAACAAGCAUAUUUAUCUUAGAUUCUUUAACUUGGUUGAUACCCACGC